AAACUUAAAGGAAUUGACGGGACCCGCACAAGCGGUGGAUGAUGUGGUUUAAUUCGAUGCAACGCGAAAAACCUUACCCACCUUUGACAUGUACGGAACCCUUUAGAGAUAGAGGGGUGCUCGAAAGAGAGCCGUAACACAGGUGCUGCAUGGCUGUCGUCAGCUCGUGUCGUGAGAUGUUGGGUUAAGUCCCGCAACGAGCGCAACCCUUGUCAUUAGUUGCUACAUUCAGUUGGGCACUCUAAUGAGACUGCCGGUGACAAGCCGGAGGAAGGUGGGGAUGACGUCAAGUCCUCAUGGCCCUUAUAGGUGGGGCUACACACGUCAUAUAAUGGCUGGUACAAAGGGUUGCCAACCCGCGAGGGGGAGCCAAUCCCAUAAAGCCAGUCGUAGUCCGGAUCGUAGUCUGCAACUCGACUACGUGAAGUCGGAAUCGCUAGUAAUCGUGGAUCAGAAUGUCACGGUGAAUACGUUCCCGGGUCUU
RNAcentral lists this ribosomal RNA (484 nucleotides) under uncultured Rhodoferax sp. RNAcentral describes it as "bacterial SSU rRNA". It matches the Rfam family "Bacterial small subunit ribosomal RNA", at positions 897 to 1382 of the family's 1533-position model. Lineage: Bacteria; Pseudomonadati; Pseudomonadota; Betaproteobacteria; Burkholderiales; Comamonadaceae. The record is from RNAcentral.